CCUAGGGUGGCAGCAGUGGGGAAUAUUGCGCAAUGGGCGAAAGCAUGAUGCAGCAACGCCGCGUGAAGGAAGACGGUUUUCGGAUUGUAACCUUCUGUUCUUAGUGAAGAAUAAUGACGGUAACUAAGGAGCAAGCCACGGCUAACUACGUUCCAGCAGCCGCGGUAAUACGUAGGUGGCAAGCGUUGUCCGGAAUUACUGGUUGUAAAGGGAGCGUAGGCGGGAAGCCAAGUCAGCUGUGAAAACUACGGGCUUAACCUGUAGACUGCAGUUGAAACUGGCUUUCGUGAGUGAAGUAGAGGUUGGCGGAAUUCCGAGUGUAGCGGUGAAAUGCGUAGAUAUGCGGAGGAACACCGGUGGCGAAGGCGGCCAACUGGGCUUUAACUGACGCGGAGGCUCGAAAGUGUGGGGAGCAAACAGGAUUAGAUACCCCUGUAGUC
Molecule: ribosomal RNA, 440 nt
Filed under: uncultured bacterium
Lineage: Bacteria
Description: partial 16S ribosomal RNA
Rfam family: Bacterial small subunit ribosomal RNA
Source: RNAcentral